UACGGGGGGGGCAAGCGUUGUUCGGAAUUACUGGGCGUAAAGGGCUCGUAGGCGGCCAACUAAGUCCGACGUGAAAUCCCAAGGCUUAACCUUGGAACUGCGUCGGAUACUGGAUGGCUUGAAUUCGGGAGAGGGAUGCAGAAUUCCAGGUGUAGCGGUGAAAUGCGUAGAUAUCGUUUGGAACGCCAAUGGUGAAAACAGCU
Molecule: ribosomal RNA, 203 nt
Filed under: uncultured bacterium
Lineage: Bacteria
Description: partial 16S ribosomal RNA
Rfam family: Bacterial small subunit ribosomal RNA
Source: RNAcentral